RNAcentral lists this ribosomal RNA (254 nucleotides) under uncultured bacterium. RNAcentral's name for it is "partial 16S ribosomal RNA". It matches the Rfam family "Bacterial small subunit ribosomal RNA", at positions 524 to 776 of the family's 1533-position model. The record is from RNAcentral.
UACGGGGGGAGCAAGCGUUGUUCGGAUUUACUGGGCGUAAAGGGCGCGUAGGCGGCCACCGCAAGUCGGUUGUGAAAUCUCCGGGCUUAACCCGGAAAGGUCAAUCGAUACUGCGGGGCUAGAGUGCAGAAGGGGCAACUGGAAUUCUCGGUGUAGCGGUGAAAUGCGUAGAUAUCGAGAGGAACACCUGCGGCGAAAGCGGCUCUCUGGAACGGUACUGACGCUGAGACGCGAAAGCGUGGGGAGCGAACAGG